CCUACGGGUGGCAGCAGUGGGGAAUCUUGGACAAUGGGGGGAACCCUGAUCGAGCGACGCCGCGUGAGGGAAGAAGGAUUUCGGUAUGUAAAGCUCUAUUAGAAGGGAAGAAAAUGACGGUACUUGACUAAGAAGCCCCGGAUAAAUACGUGCCAGCAGCCGCGGUAAUACGGAGGGGGCAAGCGUUAUCCGGAUUUACUGGGUUGAAAGGGAGCGUAGGCGGUGCAGCAAGUCGGAUGGUAAAGGGCGGGGCCCAACCCCGAGACUGCAUUGGAAACUGUUUAACUGGAGUACAGGAGAGGUAAGCGGAAUUCCUAGUGUAGCGGUGAAAUGCGUAGAUAUUAGGAGGAACACCAGUGGCGAAGGCGGCUUACUGGACUGUAACUGACGUUGAGGCUCGAAAGCGUGGGGAGCAAACAGGAUUAGAUACCCUGGUAGUC
RNAcentral lists this ribosomal RNA (440 nucleotides) under uncultured bacterium. Its description in RNAcentral is "partial 16S ribosomal RNA". It matches the Rfam family "Bacterial small subunit ribosomal RNA", at positions 338 to 795 of the family's 1533-position model. The record is from RNAcentral.